UUUCAACUUGAGAGUUUGAUCCUGGCUCAGAACGAACGCUGGCGGCAGGCUUAACACAUGCAAGUCGAGCGCCCCGCAAGGGGAGCGGCAGACGGGUGAGUAACGCGUGGGAACGUACCAUUUGCUACGGAAUAACUCAGGGAAA
Molecule: ribosomal RNA, 145 nt
Filed under: Brucella abortus
Lineage: Bacteria; Pseudomonadati; Pseudomonadota; Alphaproteobacteria; Hyphomicrobiales; Brucellaceae
Description: partial 16S ribosomal RNA
Rfam family: Bacterial small subunit ribosomal RNA
Source: RNAcentral